Molecule: ribosomal RNA, 465 nt
Filed under: uncultured bacterium
Lineage: Bacteria
Description: partial 16S ribosomal RNA
Rfam family: Bacterial small subunit ribosomal RNA
Source: RNAcentral
GAUGAACGCUGGCGGCGUGCUUAACACAUGCGAGUCGAACGGAAAGGCUCCUGCUUGCAGGGGUACUCGAGUGGCGAAAGGGGGGGUAACACGUGGGUGAUCUUCCCUGCACUUCGGGAUAAGCCUGGGAAACUGGGUCUAAUACCGGAUAGGACGAUGGCUUGGAUGCCAUUGUGGAAAGUUUUUCGGUGUGGGAUGAGCUCGCGGCCUAUCAGCGCGGUGGAGGGGUAAUGGCCUACCAAGGCGUCGACGGGUAGCCGGCCUGGGAGGGUGUACGGCCACAUUGGGACUGAGAUACGGCCCAGACGCCUACGGGAGGCAGCAGUGGGGAAUAUUGCACAAUGGGCGCAAGCCUGAUGCAGCGACUCCGCGUGGGGGAUGACGGCCUUCGGGUUGUAAACUCCUUUCGCUAGGGACGAAGCGCAAGUGACGGUACCUGGAGAAGAAGCACCGGCUAACUACGUG